This 496-nucleotide ribosomal RNA is filed under the name uncultured bacterium. RNAcentral's name for it is "partial 16S ribosomal RNA". It matches the Rfam family "Bacterial small subunit ribosomal RNA", at positions 30 to 523 of the family's 1533-position model. The record is from RNAcentral.
AUUGAACGCUGGCGGAAUGCUUUACACAUGCAAGUCGAACGGUAGAGGGGGCAACCCCUCGAGAGUGGCGAACGGGUGAGUAAUAUAUCGGAACGUGCCCAGUCGUGGGGGAUAACGUAGCGAAAGUUACGCUAAUAGCUCAUACGAUCUAAGGAUGAAAGCGGGGGAUCGCAAGACCUCGCGCGAUUGGCGCGGCAGAUAUCAGAUUAGGUAGUUGGUGGGGUAAAGGUUCACAAAGCCAAAGAUGUGUAGCUGGUCUGAGAGGACGACAGUCCACACUGGAACGGAGACACGGUCCAGACUACUACGGGAGGUAGCAGUGGGGAAUUUUGGACAAUGUGCGCAAGUCUGAUCCAGCCAUUCCGCGUGCAGGAUGAAGGCCCUCGGGUUGUAAACUGCUUUUGUACGGAACGAAAAGGUCUCUCUUAAUACGGGGGGCUCAUGACGGUACCGUAAGAAUAAGCACCGGCUAACUACGUGCCAGCCGCCGCAGUAA